UAUCCAGCACUUUAAAACCACUCUGGAUUUGAAGAAGAGGGAUUUCCAGCAGGAGUUGGAGGAGACUCAGAGAGUUGGCUCAGAGCAACGUAAGGAGCUACAGGAUCAAAUCAAAAUGUUGCACUCUCAGAAAGCAGAGCUGGAGAAAGACUUGUCUUCAGCCCAGCAUGAGAGACAGGAGGCCCAGCACAGAGCAGAGAGACUUCAGACCUCCCUCAACCAGCUCACGCAUGAUACAGAGACGAGAGCCAAUCAAGACCAGGAGGCCUUGAGAGCUCUCAGAGUGCAGGCAACAGAGUAUACUACCAAGGUCAGUC
Oncorhynchus masou masou (cherry salmon) is the source of this 317-nucleotide long non-coding RNA. RefSeq lists it as uncharacterized. NCBI's taxonomy places the organism in Eukaryota, Metazoa, Chordata, Actinopteri, Salmoniformes, Salmonidae. The record is from RefSeq and is a predicted model, not a curated record. The transcript is spliced from 3 exons.